UUACGGCCAUAUCCCGUUGAAACACCGAUUCUCGUGCGAUCAUCGAGGUUAAGCAACGUCGAGCCUGGUCAGUACCUAGAUGGAUGACCGCUUGGGAAUACCAGGUGCUGUAA
Acanthosepion pharaonis is the source of this 113-nucleotide non-coding RNA. Lineage: Eukaryota; Metazoa; Mollusca; Cephalopoda; Sepiida; Sepiidae. The record is from the annotation of a GenBank genome assembly.